CCUACGGGAGGCAGCAGUGGGGGAUAUUGCACAAUGGGGGAAACCCUGAUGCAGCGACGCCGCGUGGGCGAAGAAGUAUUUCGGUAUGUAAAGCCCUAUCAGCAGGGAAGAAGAAAUGACGGUACCUGAGUAAGAAGCACCGGCUAAAUACGUGCCAGCAGCCGCGGUAAUACGUAUGGUGCAAGCGUUAUCCGGAUUUACUGGGUGGAAAGGGAGCGCAGGCGGCACGGCAAGCCUGAUGUGAAAGCCCGCGGCCCAACCGCGGGACUGCAUUGGGAACUACCGGGCUGGAGUGCCGGAGAGGUAGGCGGAAUUCCUAGUGUAGCGGUGAAAUGCGUAGAUAGUAGGAGGAACACCAGUGGCGAAGGCGGCCUACUGGACGGUGACUGACGCUGAGGCUCGAAAGCGUGGGGAGCAAACAGGAUUAGAUACCCGUGUAGUC
RNAcentral lists this ribosomal RNA (442 nucleotides) under uncultured bacterium. RNAcentral's name for it is "partial 16S ribosomal RNA". It matches the Rfam family "Bacterial small subunit ribosomal RNA", at positions 338 to 795 of the family's 1533-position model. The record is from RNAcentral.